This 389-nucleotide ribosomal RNA is filed under the name uncultured bacterium. RNAcentral describes it as "bacterial SSU rRNA". It matches the Rfam family "Bacterial small subunit ribosomal RNA", at positions 28 to 417 of the family's 1533-position model. The record is from RNAcentral.
GACGAACGCUGGCGGCGUGCUUAACACAUGCAAGUCGAGCGGUAAGGCCCUUUCGGGGGUACACGAGCGGCGAACGGGUGAGUAACACGUGGGUGACCUGCCCUCAGCUCUGGGAUAAGCCUGGGAAACCGGGUCUAAUACCGGAUAUGACUCCAUGACGCAUGUUGUGGGGUGGAAAGCCUUGUGCGGCUGAGGAUGGGCCCGCGGCCUAUCAGCUUGUUGGUGGGGUGANGGCCUACCAAGGCGACGACGGGUAGCCGGCCUGAGAGGGCGACCGGCCACACUGGGACUGAGACACGGCCCAGACUCCUACGGGAGGCAGGCAGUGGGGAAUCUUGCGCAAUGGGCGAAAGCCUGACGCAGCGACGCCGCGUGAGGGAUGACGGCCU